Molecule: ribosomal RNA, 395 nt
Filed under: uncultured bacterium
Lineage: Bacteria
Description: bacterial SSU rRNA
Rfam family: Bacterial small subunit ribosomal RNA
Source: RNAcentral
GACGAACGCUGGCGGCGUGCUUAACACAUGCAAGUCGAGCGGUAAGGCCCUUUCGGGGGUACACGAGCGGCGAACGGGUGAGUAACACGUGGGUGACCUGCCCUUAGCUCUGGGAUAAGCCUGGGAAACUGGGUCUAAUACCGGAUAUGACUCCAUGACGCAUGUUGUGGGGUGGAAAGCCUUGUGCGGCUAGGGAUGGGCCCGCGGCCUAUCAGCUUGUUGGUGGGGUGAUGGCCACCAAGGCGACGACGGGUAGCCGGCCUGAGAGGGCGACCGGCCACACUGGGACUGAGACACGGCCCAGACUCCUACGGGAGGCAGCAGUGGGGAAUCUUGCGCAAUGGGCGAAAGCCUGACGCAGCGACGCCGCGUGGGGAUGACGGCCUCGGUUGUAA